AAGACUUUAAGUUAAUAUAAACUAAUAUCCUUCAAAGCUAGAAAUAGAUCCAUCUAAGUCUUA
RNAcentral lists this transfer RNA (63 nucleotides) under Metallyticus splendidus. RNAcentral's name for it is "tRNA-Trp". RNAcentral also lists the same sequence under 1 other name. Lineage: Eukaryota; Metazoa; Arthropoda; Insecta; Mantodea; Metallyticidae. The record is from RNAcentral.